Molecule: long non-coding RNA, 366 nt
Filed under: Rattus norvegicus (Norway rat)
Lineage: Eukaryota; Metazoa; Chordata; Mammalia; Rodentia; Muridae
Description: long non-coding RNA NONRATT023595
Source: RNAcentral
GAACCGCGCCGCCGCAGGGAACCGCGCCGCGCCCGGCCGCCUAGAGCGCCCGGACCCCGGCUGCCCGCCGUCCUGGCUCCCUGAGCUGCCUGCGAGGCCAUGCGGGGACGGCGUCCAGGCCUCGGCCACUCACCGCCAGCUCCUGCUUCCGCUUCACCAGCUCGGCCAGCUCCCGCCGGGUGUCUGGGAUCUGCGGCGGCGCCGUCUUGUUGUGCAUCGCCAUGUUGGGCUCAAGCGGCGGCGGAGGCGGCGGCGCGCGACCAGUAGGCGGACCCUGCGCACUGCCGCCGCCGGCCGCCAGGGGGCGCGCCCCCAUAUCGCGCCUGCGCGCGCGGCUUCCGGGGAAGCUGGCAGGCUCAGCGCGCG